CCUACGGGUGGCAGCAGUGAGGAAUAUUGGUCAAUGGACGCAAGUCUGAACCAGCCAUGCCGCGUGAAGGAAGACGGUUCUAUGAGUUGUAAACUGCUUUUGUACGAGGGUAAACGCAGAUACGUGUCCCCGUCUGAAAGUAUCGUACGAAUAAGGAUCGGCUAACUCCGUGCCAGCAGCCGCGGUAAUACGGAGGAUUCAAGCGUUAUCCGGAUUUAUUGGGUUUAAAGGGUGCGUAGGCGGUCGGAUAAGUUAGAGGUGAAAUCCCGAGGCUCAACUUCGGAAUUGCCUCUGAUACUGUUCGGCUAGAGAGUAGUAGCGGUAGGCGGAAUGUACGGUGUAGCGGUGAAAUGCUUAGAGAUCAUACAGAACACCGAUUGCGAAGGCAGCUUACCAAGCUACUUCUGACGUUGAGGCACGAAAGCGUGGGGAGCGAACAGGAUUAGAUACCCCAGUAGUC
This 460-nucleotide ribosomal RNA is filed under the name uncultured bacterium. RNAcentral's name for it is "partial 16S ribosomal RNA". It matches the Rfam family "Bacterial small subunit ribosomal RNA", at positions 338 to 795 of the family's 1533-position model. The record is from RNAcentral.